CUCCCUGCCUGCCAGUGUUGUCCCGAUUAUUAUUCAACAGUGACUCUGACUUGCUGGCAGAUGCAUGCUGGGCUCUUUCCUAUUUGUCAGAUGGCCCAAAUGAGAAAAUUCAAGCAGUUAUUGACUCUGGUGUGUGUCGACGACUGGUGGAGCUGUUAAUGCACAAUGACUACAAAGUGGCCUCCCCAGCUCUGCGAGCCGUCGGCAACAUUGUGACCGGGGAUGACAUCCAGACCCAGGUGAUUUUGAACUGUUCAGCACUGCCUUGUCUCCUUCACUUACUAAGCAGUCCUAAGGAGUCAAUUAGGAAAGAAGCCUGCUGGACAAUUUCUAACAUCGCAGCAGGAAACAGAGCACAA
Non-coding RNA from Tinamus guttatus (white-throated tinamou), 359 nucleotides. NCBI's taxonomy places the organism in Eukaryota, Metazoa, Chordata, Aves, Tinamiformes, Tinamidae. The record is from RefSeq and is a predicted model, not a curated record.